UCCACACAUGCGCACUGUGGACCCGGGACGAGUUGGCUGCUAAGCAGGACAGGCAGCGACGGCAAAAACACCCAGCCGGUCGGAUAAAUAUCCUGGGCGGGCCGCAUGUGGCCCGUGGGCCAUAGUUUGAGGACGCCUGAUUUAGAGGAAGAAAAUUUCUAAGCUGUGAACACCUCGUGGGACAGGGACCAUCUUUGCAUCCCCCAUGGUGACUUCUAGCAGAAUGCGUUGUACUGAACUCCUUAACAUUUGUGUGGCAAUUGCCGGUAUAAGAUUGACUUUGCAGUGUGACUACACGACACAUCAUAAAGCAUCCACAAAAGACGAAAGAUACUAGAAUAAGCCAACUGAUAACUGAGCUUUGAUAUAUUGAGCUGCUAUCAUCUCUCUUUUUACUUAACGAAUUCUUUGAAAGGAAGUUGGAAA
Molecule: non-coding RNA, 426 nt
Organism: Microcebus murinus (gray mouse lemur)
Lineage: Eukaryota; Metazoa; Chordata; Mammalia; Primates; Cheirogaleidae
Source: RefSeq, a predicted model, not a curated record